RNAcentral lists this ribosomal RNA (497 nucleotides) under uncultured bacterium. RNAcentral's name for it is "partial 16S ribosomal RNA". It matches the Rfam family "Bacterial small subunit ribosomal RNA", at positions 28 to 507 of the family's 1533-position model. The record is from RNAcentral.
GAUGAACGCUGGCGGCGUGCCUAAUACAUGCAAGUCGAGCGAACAGACAAGGAGCUUGCUCCUCUGACGUUAGCGGCGGACGGGUGAGUAACACGUGGAUAACCUACCUAUAAGACUGGGAUAACUUCGGGAAACCGGAGCUAAUACCGGAUAAUAUAUUGAACCGCAUGGUUCAAUAGUGAAAGACGGUUUUGCUGUCACUUAUAGAUGGAUCCGCGCCGCAUUAGCUAGUUGGUAAGGUAACGGCUUACCAAGGCAACGAUGCGUAGCCGACCUGAGAGGGUGAUCGGCCACACUGGAACUGAGACACGGUCCAGACUACUACGGGAGGCAGCAGUAGGGAAUCUUCCGCAAUGGGCGAAAGCCUGACGGAGCAACGCCGCGUGAGUGAUGAAGGUCUUCGGAUCGUAAAACUCUGUUAUUAGGGAAGAACAAAUGUGUAAGUAACUAUGCACGUCUUGACGGUACCUAAUCAGAAAGCCACGGCUAACUACGUG